Non-coding RNA from Plectropomus leopardus (leopard coralgrouper), 1033 nucleotides. NCBI's taxonomy places the organism in Eukaryota, Metazoa, Chordata, Actinopteri, Perciformes, Serranidae. The record is from RefSeq and is a predicted model, not a curated record.
AUCACUUUAAGUCACGUUUAAUAGGGCCAUUAAACAUAUGGCGAUAACAUCAAACUAUAAAUGACGGUGAUGGGAGUGUUUGCGUCUCGUGGCUUCAUUCAGUCGUGCAGCCCGGUGCGCGUGAGGGGGGCUGGACCAGAGGGGGAGGCUGCAGAGAGGACACACAACUCCGGCGACACCUGCAAACUAACUGCUAACAGACUCUCUCCCGGAGCCGAGACACGGAGGACACGGACGUGAAUGCGGAAUAACGAUGUAAAAUGCGUUCACGAAGCGGAUAAGAAGCUAGCAACAGAAAAACUUUAUUUUACGAUAACAAAGUGGUGCGUUUUGAGUCGAGUUUGGACCGAGAGCUGAGAGAGACGACAGCAGACCUGUUUCCUCGCUGGGUUGAAGGCGGCUGGUAGUCGGUAGGGAAGUUUAUCACCGACGUACCAGAGCAUCAGUGGUCCAUACGCUGCUCUUGCCGGGAAUCAUUUGUUUUGGUUCGUUUUGUUUCUUUCGGCUUUUUUUCCUGUGUCUAGUCCGCCCUGGCAAGUGAGCCGGUACGGGGCAAAAAAAGAGAUGGCUGUUGCCCGUCGGGCGGACUAGUUUCUUUUCUUUUCUUUUCUUUCUUUAUGUUUGUUUGUCUUUUUCUUGUCAGCUGCUUCCCCCUCAUCACCAGUACCCAGCUUACUCCCGGUCAGGCUGCCAGAGAGGGCCUAAGGUGUGCAAAGUGUGCAGCGAGUACAUUCACGCGUGUAAAUUGUGAGUGAGAACUCUUGGAGUGCAAAUUCAUAGUGUGCAGUGUGCUGUGAAAAGAUUCACGUGUGUAAACUGUGUUAACUCUUUCGAGUGCAGACCUAAGGAUUGCAGUGCAUUGGUGUUAUUGGAAACUUCCCCCCCCCCCCCUUUCUGUUUGCAUAAUUGGGAGUUAAGCUGGGACGCGGGUAAUGUGAGAGAAACUGAUUUGUAAGCUGAGCUUUUGUAAUAAAUAUUCGCUAUCACUUACCUCUGUGACUGUCCUUUUUAAAAGACUAGUACUUGAGCGGGU